This is a long non-coding RNA of Mustela lutreola (European mink), 483 nucleotides long. RefSeq lists it as uncharacterized. The record is from RefSeq and is a predicted model, not a curated record. The transcript is spliced from 3 exons. Lineage: Eukaryota; Metazoa; Chordata; Mammalia; Carnivora; Mustelidae.
CUCUGAGUUGAGCUGCCUUGUGGAAGUCUCUGGGGAAGACUUUGAUAAGUUGGGCUUGAAUCACCUUCCUGCCAUUGGACUCCACCCUGACAAAGAGCAGGAUUCUGGGGUGAACAGCCCAGCACCUAAACACGUGGUUGGAUUUACAAAGGAACAACUAUUCUCCAGGAAGGGAGAGCUGUUCUCAGCAUGGAGGGACUCUUUGCACUGGAUCUCCUGCUCUAGGGACAGCUGGCUUUCUGUUUGGAGAGAAAAAGAUGAAAAGUGACACCGUAAUUCCAAACCAAGCUUGAUACCACCUGAAUAAAGGAUUCUAGAAGAAUGCAGUAGAUGAACCUGGUGAGACUUCAGUUCGUCCUGGCCUGGCGUGGCUCCGGGGACAGACCGGAAGGAGAAGAAGAGAUUUACCCAUCUUUUUGAGAGACAGAGUGAGUGUGAGCAGGGGCAAAGGGAGAGGAAGAAAGAAUCUGAAGCAGGCUCCUC